CGAACCCACACACCUUAAGAUCAUGACCCGAGCCGAAGUUGAAUGCUUAACCGACUGAGACCCCUCGGUGCCCCUCUCCCUCUCCUUAUAAGAGCCACCAGUCCUACCAGACUAGAUUGCUCCCUAAUUACCUCCUAAAGGCCCCAUCUCCAAAUACAGCCACGCCGGGGGUUAGGGCCUCAACCUCUGAAUUUUGGUGGGGCCCAGUCCAGUCCCCAGCACCAGCCAUUAGAAAGAGGAGCCAGCCAGCAGCCCAGUCUCGAAUGCAGGCGGCCGCACAGAGCUCUGUCCCUGGCUCACUCCCAAACCCUCCCACCAGAAUCCUAGAACCAGAGCGCCUGCAAGCAGAAGCCAGCAGAGCUGCGUGCGCUAGACUGUGCGUCAAUCAGGGAGCUUAGUUGAAGCAGCUGAAGUUAAUUUUGCUCAUUAAAGCCAAGCGGAAAUGCAUUAAAUGCUACGGAGCAGCUCACAGGACGGGCCAGACAUCUAGGUCUGGAGGCUGCGCGGCCGGGAGCAAUGUUCGACGUCACUCUGCAGAGCUGUCCCGGGGCAGGCACCCGGGACAGUGGGAACGGACACCUCCACGUGUGCUAGUGACCCCGAUAGUGAAUGGCUGGCCGCUGCGGCUUGAGCCCAACCCUGGAAGCCUCUAGAACUGCCACGUGGGUACCUCUGCUGCCCCCAACCUGUCCAGACUCUGUGUCACUGGCUCCCGUGGGCACCUCAUUGGCACCUUAUCAAAUGUCCGUUCCCCUGGAUGCCAGGGAGGCCGGGAAGGCAGGGGUUUCUGGCAUUUCCAGCCUCUGUAAUGGGAUGGGGUCUCCACCUUUCUCCAAGCUCCACGAAGCAGGGAAGGGGUAUACAAGGAUGGCCAAAAAGAAUGACAUUCAUCAGAGAAGCAGAAUCACUAGGAGGUUAUAUAUAUGUAUGUCUGCGCGUGUGUGUACGUGUGUGUGUAUACAUACAUAUAAAUACAUAUAUGUGUGUAUAGAUAUGUAUAUAUAUCCAUCUCUGGGUCUCUGGUCCCCCUGUUUUGGCCUCAUCUCCCCAGUGAGAGGCUUUCCCGGGAGGGAUGUGACCCGACUGGUGGCCAGCAGGAUGUAGGUCAAUGUGUUGGGGCUCUGCGUGCAAGCCCCUCUGUGCUCAGAGCAGGGUGGAGGAGGGCAGACCUCACGGUCAAGCGCUGACGUCCCAUGCUGGUCCAGGAACAUCCGCCGGACUGUUUUCCGUGUGGUCAGUGUGGACAGCAUCUCCUCCCCCUGCCCCCUAGGAGUUUUCAUUCAGCUUCUUAAUAAAAUAUGGCCAGUCCCCCUGCCCCAGAAAGUUGGCUUGUUAUAUUUAUAGCUCUUGAAAAACUCCCUGCCCAAAGCCUCAAACCCUCCACCCGGCCUCUGCCAACAGUGAUCCUUUCCCAGAGCGGCUAUUUCCGCCUGGCUCCGGAGGGGUGUGGUGCCCUGGGGCAUAUGCAGGUACUGGGUGGUGGGCUGACAGGCUGCACCCCAACAGGUUCAAGUUUGCCGGAAAGCAACUUAAGAUCACUUUCGGAGAAGGAAGUGUGCCUUAUUUAGGGGGAAACGGGAAGAGUCUUGCUGUUUAAGAGUCUGUUGCUUAUUAUGUAUUUUUCAUCUCCUUCUUUUUUUUUUUUUUUUUUUAACAGGAAGUAGAACGGGAUUAUCCGAAGCCUGUUUUUUUUUUUUUUUUUUUUUCCCUACACACCAGGAGCAGAAUUCAGAAUAAUUUUGCUCCACCAAAAGAGACACUUCUGUAAAAUUCUCAGGGUGCAGAGUCCUAGCUGGCCCUGCUCCCAUGAGAGAGGGCGGUGAGCGACAGAGUGUGAGUUUCUUUUUGCUGUUGUAACUAAGCGGUAGCUUAACACAACACAGAUUUAUUAUCUUACAGGUCUGGAGGUCGGAAGUCCAAAAUCAGUCUCAUAGGGCUAAGGUCAAGGUGCAGGUCCUGCUGGGGGCUCCGGGGCAGAAGCCUAUUCCUUGCCUGUUCCAGUUUCUCAAGGCCACCUCCAUUCCUUGCACUGUGGACCCUUCCUCUGUUUGCAAAGCCCGGCAGUGACCUCUGCUUCUGUCAUCACUUCUCUGACUCGGGCCUGCUGCCUCUGUCUUCCAAGGGCUUUUGUGACUCCACCGGGCCUGCCAGGCAACCCUACUCAUCCUUCCAGGCCUGACGUAGAUGUCGCCACCUCCAGGAAGCCCUCUCUGACUGUGCCAGGUGGAACUGGCUUCUCCUUCCCGAUGUUUGCGCCUCCCUUGCCUCUCAGGAGGGGUGACCGUGAACGUGGGGGUGGAAGGAGCCUGGCCUGACCCUUUGCAGAUCCACGUUGGAGUCCUGGGCCCAUCACCUACCGAUUCCACAAGGUCCUCAGCACCUGUGCUGUGGGGGAGGGAUGCCAACCCUGUCCUAAGACCCUCACCAUUCACACUGUCGCCCUCAAAAAGGUAAUAACAGCAGGGAAGGCAAACGAAUGCCACCCCUGACAGCAUCUCCUUUCACGAGCAUCUUCCUGCUGCUGCUGCCUGGCCUUCGUGUCUGUCCCUCCCUGCCCAAGCACCCUUGGGAAUCCCUGACGUAGUGGACCGUCACCGGCUCUCCUCCUCUACGGUUAUCAGGGCCAGGAUCUAAUUAACGAGAACUAACAGUCAGCAGUUAUUCCGACAGCAGCCGAGACUGUGGCUGUCACAGGGCGUUAUCUGGGCCAUCUUUCCUGGAUCCCAGGGCCUGGACCCCAGAGGUGCUGGUGCUGUCCCGCACACGUGGCUUCAUGCCCAGCACCAAACCCAAUGUGGGGCUUGAACUCAGG
Long non-coding RNA from Leopardus geoffroyi (Geoffroy's cat), 2812 nucleotides. RefSeq lists it as uncharacterized. NCBI's taxonomy places the organism in Eukaryota, Metazoa, Chordata, Mammalia, Carnivora, Felidae. The record is from RefSeq and is a predicted model, not a curated record. The transcript is spliced from 4 exons.